RNAcentral lists this long non-coding RNA (464 nucleotides) under Ananas comosus (pineapple). Its description in RNAcentral is "long non-coding RNA (ACOM_LNC032897)". The record is from RNAcentral. Lineage: Eukaryota; Viridiplantae; Streptophyta; Magnoliopsida; Poales; Bromeliaceae.
AUUUAGUUAACUAAAUUAAAUAUUUUAUUAAAUUCAUUGGUAAUUCAUAAAAUUUACUAAUUUAAACUUAACUUAGCAAAAUAACUGUAACGACCCAACCCACUACAACAAUAACUUGUUGGGUCCAGUCACCGGCCCAAAAUACUUAAGCCCAUUAUUAUUACCCAAUUACAUUCCUAUUCAUAUCCCAUACCUAUCGCUAGCAUGUCAGUACCUGGCUCAGCCAAAACUCAUCUCACGCUUCUGGCUGAUGAACUGGCUCUGAUACCAAAUGUAACGACAUAGCCCACUAACAACAAUAACUCGUUGGGCCCAAACCAACAGCCCAAAAUGCUUAAGCCCAGUUAUUAUUAUUAGUGUCUAGUGCCUAAGUCUCUUAUAUACCAAUCACAUCCCCAUUCAUAUUCAAUGUGGAAUUAUUGAGGUGUGACAAUAACACAAAAAAAAAAUAUUCAAAGGGGGUA